This 401-nucleotide unclassified non-coding RNA is filed under the name soil metagenome. RNAcentral's name for it is "partial contains 5.8S ribosomal RNA, internal transcribed spacer 2, and large subunit ribosomal RNA". The stretch from base 1 to 121 matches the Rfam family "5.8S ribosomal RNA", at positions 35 to 154 of the family's 154-position model. The record is from RNAcentral.
GAUGAAGAACGUAGCGAAAUGCGAUAAGUAAUGUGAAUUGCAGAAUUCAGUGAAUCAUCGAAUCUUUGAACGCACCUUGCGCCCCUUGGUUAUUCCAAAGGGCAUGCCUGUCUGAGUAUCAUGAACACCUCAACUCUUGUGGUUUCCCACAAUGAGCUUGGACUGUGGAGGUUUUGUUGGCCCUGUGGUCAGCUCCUCUCAAAUGGAUCAGCUUACCGGUGUUUGGUGGCAUUACGGGUGUGAUAACUAUCUACGCUCGUGGUCGUCUCCAAAUAACCUCCAGUGAUGGAGGUUCGCUGGAGCUUAUAAAUGUCUCUCCCCAGUGAAGACAGCCUUUGAACGUUCGAUCUCAAAUCAGGUAGGACUACCCGCUGAACUUAAGCAUAUCAAUAAGCGGAGGA